Molecule: long non-coding RNA, 2912 nt
Organism: Anguilla rostrata (American eel)
Lineage: Eukaryota; Metazoa; Chordata; Actinopteri; Anguilliformes; Anguillidae
Exons: 2
Source: RefSeq, a predicted model, not a curated record
GGGACAGGUGCCCGGGACACAGGUGCUUUGUGACCCCCUCCCUCAGGCCCCUCAUUACUGCCAUGUGCAGCUGUUUGAACCACCUUCAUUCACACUGAUCCUAAUGCAGUGCAGUAUGGCUGCUGGCCUUGGGUUUAAAUUUAGGCCCCUUUUGUCCAAACACAUUGCUGUGUAUGAGACUGAGUGCGGGGCUGUGUUCUGUCAGUCUUUCCUGCACAUGCUUUGUCCAUGCAGUAAUGCUUUAUCUGGACUAUGUAAGCAGGUUAAGACACUGCUUAUUUUAGAGAAGGUUACGUGAUACUUGCUUGUUUUCGUUAGUAAAAAUGUCAGCGUGAAUGUCAUUUUGAUUGCACAUGGUCUUUGCUGUGCUAUGUAAGGUCAGGGUGCCAUUUUGGCUCUAGUAAUGGUCCGUUCACACUUGCUGAAAGUCUCUUGCCGUUUUAUAGGCUUAGUGGCACGGCUGCAUUUCAGCAGGGAAAAUCGGAGCAGGGUCCUUUUUUCCCCCACUUUGUACAAUGCAGCAGCUGGUGGCUGGUCACAGACAAGCAAAGUGCAGUGGGCCGCAGAAUUUUUUCUGGUUUUCCCCCCAGUGCAGCUCUGUGGUAAUCUGGCUGCAGAUGUUCAGAAAGUGAGAUUGUGCCCUGGGUUUGUGAUGGUAUGAUGACCCUCCAGUAAGAUUCAGAAGUUACCCCAGUUUCAUGAUAUCAGUGGGUAAAUUGUAUGAAUAAUGGCUAUUCAUCACAUUAUCAUGUAGCAUGUACUGCGUGCUUUGUUUUCCCAAAAAUAAUUGUUUGAAGCUCACAAUUCCUGCUGUUUGGUGAAGUGGGCGGCUCACAGUGAGAGGAGUGAGGCUCAGAGAGAGGUGGGCGACUCUGACAAACUUUCAGGAGAGUGUGGGAGAAACUAGCUUUCAGAAUAGAGUGGGAGAGACUAGCUUUCAGGAGAGUGCGGGAGAAACUAGCUUUCAGAAUAGAGCAGGAGAGACUAGCUUUCAGAAUAGAGUGGGAGAGACUAUCUUUCAGGAGAGUGCGGGAGAGACUAACAUUUGGAAUUGUGUGGGAGACUCUUGAUUUCGGGAGAGUGUGGGAGAGACUAGCUCUGGGGAGAGUGUGGGAGAGUACAGAAUAGCUUUCACUUUCUCCGGAGUGCACAUAUCAGAGUUGGGCUCCAUCUCAGUCCACUCUAUGGGGAACCGGUGCCAUAGUGCCACUGGAUUUCAGUACCCAACGAUAGCAAUGUCAUCAUCUGUGGGCGCCCCGCUAGUGAACGCUGGCAGUAACUACAUGAGGGCUGCUGAGAAAUCCCUGCUUGACCCCUCGAAAACUCACUGUCAUCGAUGACUUCUGUCAAGGUGCCUGGCUGUUUCAUUUCACUAAUCAUGCCUUAUAAGAUUAUUUUUUUGCUGACUGAUUUAAUAAACCCUGGUUCUCCUGGUUCAGUCCUUUCCGUAUCUUUAGCUUCUGUCCAAUGGUUGUCUUCAGCAGGGCCCAGGCUCCUGAUGCAUGGUGGCUUCCCCCUGCGUUUGGAGUGUGUUUACAAAAUACACACAAGCUCAAGGAAAAGAGCCCUUCUUUACCGAUCAGUUAUUGUUCACCAGGCUGUUGGCACACACUGCCUCUGUAACCCUGGAAAGUGUGGAAAUGUUGAGUUGCGGUCACUCACAGAGCCUUAGGCAUUGCGUGAUCUACAGCGUUAAAUCAUGGUGUGGUGUGAGGUAGUACUCACUGUAUUAUUGGAAAAACACGAGAAGCUCACAGCAGUGGUUUAAGAGUCUGAGGCCGACUGGAGCCAAAAGCAGCCAUGCGCUAGGCAGGCAUGUCACGGCCAGAGAUGAAGGCUUCCUCUUCAUUGCAUUUUGGCGUGAAGCUCAGAAUACAUGCAUUUUUCAGUCAUUUAAAAGCAGGUGAAAACCUGUGGUAUUUUAAAAUUUUUCCUGGCUGCAUGACACCAAUAUCUCUCAGUGUGAUAAAUAUUACAGUACCUCUUUGUGUGUAUGUCCUAGUAAAAUGGCAUAUUCAGUAUCCAGAAGAUCAGCAAACUAGCUGCUACUAAAAAGGGUGAGAAAAUGAUUUUGUUUGUCAUCAUUUCUUUCCUGACUUAACUGCUGCUGAUGGUUAAAUAUUGCCGCUAUAACUAUUUACUGGGAGAUGAGUUUAGGAGGAAUUUACAAACUCUGCAAUGGAGGCAGUUAGCUAUAGCAUGACCAUGAAUCAGUCACUAAGGCAAGUGCGAUGAAGUUUGAGAAAGCUUUCGAAAUGUAGGAAUAACAAGCUAAUCUUGUUUGGAAAAAUAAGCCAAAUUACUGUGACUAGAUUGAAAUGGUUCUUUUUUUGUAGAAAAUGUUACAGAUGAGAGAUGAAUAUAACCCUGCUGUCUUGACAAUAAUAAGAGAUCUUCACAUCUCGGGCUCUGUAAAAAAGCAAUGCUCUGAUUAGAAUGUACACAUUAGCACACACUUUCGCAUUGCAGUGGUAAUGUGGCUACAUGCGGAGUGUUGGUUUUUUGGGCUUAUCAUCCAGGUAUUUGUGAGUGAGAAUACGCUAGGUUAUCGUAGCCUUUUUGUUUGGGCCCCCUAGUGGCGUAGACGCUGGCGUCUACAUCAAACAUCCUACUGUAACAUGUCAGAAGGCGUGCUAUCAUGGAAAACUGCAUUUCAGAUUUAUCAGUGCUUGUCGGGCUAUUUUCAGGCUAAAUUUGAUGUUUCUACUGUUGUUUUGUAUAGAGUAUCUUUGACCACUCUUGUGUGAUCUACGUGACAGCAAACUGGAUUGAAGACACUGGACAUUUAUAUAUAGUUAUGAGUUGGUUACAGUUCUUUCACCACCAAAAAAUUGUGUAGUAUAUCACAGCAACAAGAAAAAACACCUGAGGUCCUGAAUGUAGGUCAAUAAAACUGCUAUUUCACCUGCUCA